Molecule: long non-coding RNA, 297 nt
Organism: Hypanus sabinus (Atlantic stingray)
Lineage: Eukaryota; Metazoa; Chordata; Chondrichthyes; Myliobatiformes; Dasyatidae
Exons: 2
Source: RefSeq, a predicted model, not a curated record
ACACAGCCGCUGCCGCGCCUUCUCGGGCCCAGGACAGAUCCUCAGGGGAGCUGGAAAUUGUUCACACUUUCCGCUGCUGAUCUACCUCACAGGUGCAAUGGGAAAGACACUUUCAGCAUGGCAGGCACAGAGAAUCAGGUAUGGAAGCAUCCUUGUCGAUGAGGACAAAGCAGGGACUUUUGAUCCCUGAAAACUGCCGAACUGCGUGCGUUUUGAAGUAUGAAAGACCGUGCUGCCUCGCUUAAUCAGCGUCCGGGCCGGUUCUCCGCGGCCACGUAAUAAAUCAAUUAAACCGAA